Vicugna pacos (alpaca) is the source of this 2449-nucleotide non-coding RNA. Lineage: Eukaryota; Metazoa; Chordata; Mammalia; Artiodactyla; Camelidae. The record is from RefSeq and is a predicted model, not a curated record.
GUGAAUUAGUUUAUUAAAUAUUGUAAAAGAUGUGGGUAACAUAAGAGGAUUUUCAGGUCUGGGAGUGGAAGAUUUUGAAAUGGAGGAAAGGACUGAGAAUAGGGAAGGGAAGUGCAAGGUUUUAGAAAAAAAGGAAAAUCUGCCUACUUCACAGCUUUCCCUACGGCCAGCCCUGAAACUAAGGUCAUGAGUGUAUGAGUGUGUUUUCUUCAACUUUGUCCAGUCAAGACAUUUUUUUCCAAGACUACAAUCUACAUCCCCAAACUUAGACAACCACACUGUAUCAGAAUAAGAGUUGAGGAAGGGGUGCAGAAACUUAAAUAAUAACUGGAAUUUCAGGGACACGUGCCUUUAACUGUGGGGAGUAGCAUCAAAAUCAUUAAAGCGUGCACAUAGUAGACAGCUCCUUGGGACCUGUGUCUGAUCAGAGCCCACAGUUCAGCAGGAGGAUCUUCCAGCCAAGAUCUAAAGUAAACAUGUUGUUCUUCAGCAUUUGCCUCGGUACAGAACCAUCAUCAACUCACAGCUUAGUCAUGAAGUUCAAGAAAUGAAACCCAGAGAAUUGUCCAUAUAAAUGAAGAUACUUAACUUGUGCAACAUGACAGAAAACAAAAUGUUUCUAAUGGAUGAAUCAUAACAUAAUAGGGACCAUCCCACAAAAAAGCUUCACACUCUUUUAACAUACAAUUUUAAACCAAUUUAAUAAUCACAAAAGAGUUCAGCUAAUGUUGGAUUUAGGAGAAGAAAUAAUUUACAAUCAGGUCGUUCACUGGAAUUUGACUCUACAUUUCAGUGAUCCUCAACCUUGACCAUGCAUCAGAAUCACCUGCGAGGCUUUGUAAAAACACCUGCUGAGUCAGAACCUGUGAAGGUGCAGCCUGCACUUCUUUGUCUGGAAAAAAAAAAAAAAAAAAAAAGCUCCACGAAUGAUUCAAAUGCACGAGCCAGGUUGAGAAUUCUGAUAUAAACAAUUCAUAAAUAGUCUUUCAGUCACCUUUCUCUGAGAGGAAUUAGUUAGGAUAUUGCUAUGCAAAUGUAAAAACAAAAGUGUGCCCCGAUAAGGAGAAUUUGGCCACUUCUAAGAAGAGUUACCUCAAUUUCAUUGCUCCACAAAACAGCUGUAAUUCCACAAUCUGUACACCUCCAGGCUACCCCACUUUCAGCAGCUGCGAUAAAUUCCAAGCAUAUUUCCAAUGCAAACCAACCCAACCUUUGAAUCUAAAUCCCUCCAAGUUUCUCCUGAAGUUUAACUGUAAAUGUUGACUUUGGUUCAACUUUCCCAUUGCCUGCAUUAGUCAGCUAGAAUGGUUUAAACAUUUAUAGAUAGAAAAGUUCAGAUAUGAUCCAUAUUUUAUUGUAAUCAAAUGUUAACUGGGUCGCUCUUGCGACCAAGCAUUUGUCUACUAUGGACAUUUGAAAAUAAUUAUUGUCAAUGAAUCUUGGCUUUUUGUUCUUUGCAAAGUGAUAGUUGAACUUAUUCAAUAAAUAUUUAUCACGACUCUACUAUUGCUGAACGCUGUGAUAUGCACUGAGGAUACAAUAAUACCCUUAAUUUGCUCAUGGUCUGAUAGGAAAGCAUUCACUUGACAAAUAUUAAUUGAAUAGAAGCAAAGAUGCAUAUGGUGUAAUAUCUGCAUUCUGGGACAUCACAGUGAAUGUGGAAAGGCAGAUUUAUAAACAACUUCCUCAUGAUAAAGUAUUAGAAGGUACUAUGUGCUCACAAAGGAAAAGCAACCUAUAUGGGGGAAGUCAGUACAGGCUUUUCCAAGCAAGUGGCAUCUAAAGUGGAAGAAUGAGUGGAAUUUUCCAGGUGGAGAAGAGGAGAAAAUGUAUGCCAAACAGAAACAGUACCUGCAAGUCUCGGAAAUAAGACAAUCAUGCCUGUCAUGGGAGAAUGAGGACUUCAUGGAACAUGUAGUACAAGACUCACCGGCUCGCUCUCCAUUGCCAUCCUUGCCAUCAUUCUUGGUAACUUCACCAGACCUGGAGAUAACUGUCCAGUUGCCUGGCUUCUAGGCUCUUUACUUCCAGUCAUCAUACAGAAAGGAGGAGUGACGGAGAAUUCGUACUCUGCCUGACUGUCUUCAAACUAGGACAUCAGUCUUCUUUUGCUUUCAGACUCAGACUGGAACUAUACCAUUGGCUCCCCUGGGUCUCCAGCUUACUGACUGCAGGUCUCAGGACCUCUUGGCCUCUGUAACUGUGAAAGCCAGUUUCUUACAAUAUACAUAUGCAUGUACGCAUGUGUGUGUUCAUGCAUGAGUGUAUGUGUGUGCUCACGUGUGAGUGUGUGUAUGUUCUAUGAGCUCUUUUUUUCUAUAGCACCCAGACUAAUGCAGUAAGCAUUAACAAAUAAAAUGGAUGAAUUAAUGAUGGCAUGUGUAGCUGGAAAAUGGCAGAGGAAUAAGAAUAUGAAGCUAAAGAGGUAUCAGUAAUAAAAACAACACUU